AUCCGGUUGGCGAGUCCCAAAUAGGACGAAACGUACGUCCUGGAU
Molecule: non-coding RNA, 45 nt
Organism: Schistosoma rodhaini
Lineage: Eukaryota; Metazoa; Platyhelminthes; Trematoda; Strigeidida; Schistosomatidae
Source: Rfam